Populus nigra (black poplar) is the source of this 801-nucleotide long non-coding RNA. RefSeq lists it as uncharacterized. NCBI's taxonomy places the organism in Eukaryota, Viridiplantae, Streptophyta, Magnoliopsida, Malpighiales, Salicaceae. The record is from RefSeq and is a predicted model, not a curated record. The transcript is spliced from 2 exons.
AGAAUUGGGAGGCCUUGAAUGCCAUUGAUGCAUGCAUGGAAAGGUUGAGAAAAAUCCGCAGACAAUUGCAUGAAACUUCUCGCUCUAGCGCGGGGUUGUAUAUUGUGCAGGAAGUUGAAUGUACGUAUUCAAAAGCAUAAAUACAGACCAAGGCAAAACAACAGUGAAAUGCUAUGUUAGAGCUGCUGACUUGACGCUUACUUUUGUGACAGGUGAUCCUGCAUUAUAGAAGUCCUGCCACAGUGCUCUCCUGUGUGCUUGGACUUCACUGGUGCUCUGUUUCUGUGAUCUGAGUUUUGAGCAAGUAGUGGUUGAACAUCUCAUAUGCCAGUGGUUAUCCUAUUGGUUAUGGCUAUCCUCUAUUCAAGAAAUUCUGCCGGUUGUAAUUAUGAGGCUGCCGGGAUUGUUUUGCUCACAUUGAACUCCAGUCUACGCAGCUGAAAACUAUCGUCUGUGGUGGCCCUAAGGUACUGGUGCUUUGAGAUGGCUGUGAAAUUGUCCACAAAACACUGAUCUCAACCAGAGACUCUUACAAGUGCAAUUGUGCCAUCGCAGCUAUUGAAUUCUCAGUGUGUGUCGACAUUUAUGUAUAUAUGCUCGUUACAAGGACAGUCAUUGCUUUGGUCAGUAAGGGGCUUCCAUAAGUUUUCAAGCUUCACCGAGUACCGACAAUGCACAAGGAUGGCAAAUUACUGAGACAUUCCUGCUGUUGCCCCCGCCUCUUCUGCAUGAAUGUCUGCGUGACCUAAAUGAUCUGUAAUAUCCACUCUAAUUUCUUGUUCAUUUGCUCAUUUCCCACCA